Limanda limanda (common dab) is the source of this 740-nucleotide long non-coding RNA. RefSeq lists it as uncharacterized. The transcript has 4 exons. The record is from RefSeq and is a predicted model, not a curated record. Lineage: Eukaryota; Metazoa; Chordata; Actinopteri; Pleuronectiformes; Pleuronectidae.
ACUUAUCCCAUAUGAAUUAACCGCUGCUCACGUCACCCGCUCGCGUCAUCAGCUGAUGGACUCGUCCAAUCAGAGCCUCGUAAACGCCGUGCAGCAGCGUCGAGUGUCCCGCAGACAGGAAGCGGGUCGUGUUUAGCUUGUCCCGUACGAGUGACUCUGUCUUCGGGGUAAAUAACUUGCUGAAGUCGACACGACGCUGUUCCCUGGAGGAGAAGAUGAGUGCGUGUGGAGGCAGAGCCGCGGGCCCGGUGUGGACGAGUCGAGGCGGAGAAGACGGGCGCACAGUCCCUGAGUUACGCCUCAGCCCCCCCCCCCCCACACACACACACAAACAAAGAGGCGUUAGGCUGAGACGCUGAAAGUCCGGAUUUAAAGUGCAGAAAAUGAAGCCAUUGAAUCUGCCUGUCCAUGACGUACAAAGACACACUAUGAGCCAGUAUGAUCCGACCAGACCUUACAUCAGCAUUGAGGAGUUGUCGGAGAAGAAAGAGGCUGAUUGAAGCGGGACAGAUGACAUGGAUCCAUCCUUCCACAGCCAGGAGUGCACCGACCUGUGUCCCACACUUCAUAUAAGACUGGAAGCUACACUGAUCUCACAGCUACACACCACAGACGUCUACACACUGGAGAAGAGUCCCACAAAGAAGUCAUGACCCAGAGGCUGCAGAGAAACAUUUCAAGCCUCAUCUGAGUUUUUGUACAAUAUUUUUGCUGUAUGUAAAUAAAGCUUUCACUCCACA